Molecule: ribosomal RNA, 263 nt
Filed under: Serratia marcescens
Lineage: Bacteria; Pseudomonadati; Pseudomonadota; Gammaproteobacteria; Enterobacterales; Yersiniaceae
Description: partial 16S ribosomal RNA
Rfam family: Bacterial small subunit ribosomal RNA
Source: RNAcentral
UUAAUUGAAGAGUUUGAUCAUGGCUCAGAUUGAACGCUGGCGGCAGGCUUAACACAUGCAAGUCGAGCGGUAGCACGGGGGAGCUUGCUCCCUGGGUGACGAGCGGCGGACGGGUGAGUAAUGUCUGGGAAACUGCCUGAUGGAGGGGGAUAACUACUGGAAACGGUAGCUAAUACCGCAUAACGUCGCAAGACCAAAGAGGGGGACCUUCGGGCCUCUUGCCAUCAGAUGUGCCCAGAUGGGAUUAGCUAGUAGGUGGGGUA